Oreochromis niloticus (Nile tilapia) is the source of this 692-nucleotide long non-coding RNA. RefSeq lists it as uncharacterized. NCBI's taxonomy places the organism in Eukaryota, Metazoa, Chordata, Actinopteri, Cichliformes, Cichlidae. The record is from RefSeq and is a predicted model, not a curated record. The transcript is spliced from 3 exons.
GAUUCUUGUGUUAGUCAGUGAAACUCCAGCUCACGCAAAAGCCUUCAUUUUAGCCUGAGCAUGUGUCAAGUUUUCCUGAGCUACUGACAUUCAAGGAGCCAAAGGUGACCAGAUACCACAUGACCAAACACUAGAUCUGCCGGACUGAACUCUUAAGGAUUCCUAAAUGGCUUCCCUAGCGACAAACAGCAAUAAUUGCAGAUCCUCGCCCCAUUACCUACCAGACUCUGGGCAAAACUUGAGCAGCAUGGUUUUGAAAACUUUGAGUUUUGGAAAACAGUGAGUCAGGGAUAGGUACAUCCGGUAACCGCAAAAAUACACGCUACUGUCGAUUUUCCUAGCUUACAAACAAAUAGAGCUCUGUGCCAUUUUCUAGGGGUGUGUGGCUAUUACAGAGGAUUCUGUAAGAAUUUCUCCAGUGUUGUGGCUCCCCUCAAACCGUUUGUGUGGACAAUUUCUUGUCAGACUGCUUGUGAGUCUGCGAGGGCAUUACUGUGUAGUUCCCCAGUUCCUGCUGUACCCUAUUUCACCUCUCUUUUUAAACAAGAAAUUGACAGUAGCACUUGUGAUCCGACUGUUGUUCUCAUGCAGGAGGAUCGGCAAUAGUUCAACAAACAUCAAAUGAACUAUAGCAAGAGUGAGGAGUGCAGUCAAUGGAGAGGGGUUCAGAGUAGAGUUGCUAGUGCUCAGAA